GGCGAUGUAGCCAAGUGGUUACGGCGAUUGAUUAGAAAUCAAUUCCUCUUGUAGGGCGUAGGUUCGAGUCCUGCCAUCGUCG
Molecule: transfer RNA, 82 nt
Rfam family: tRNA
About the family: Transfer RNA (tRNA) molecules are approximately 80 nucleotides in length. Their secondary structure includes four short double-helical elements and three loops (D, anti-codon, and T loops). Further hydrogen bonds mediate the characteristic L-shaped molecular structure. tRNAs have two regions of fundamental functional importance: the anti-codon, which is responsible for specific mRNA codon recognition, and the 3' end, to which the tRNAs corresponding amino acid is attached (by aminoacyl-tRNA synthetases). tRNAs cope with the degeneracy of the genetic code in two manners: having more than one tRNA (with a specific anti-codon) for a particular amino acid; and 'wobble' base-pairing, i.e. permitting non-standard base-pairing at the 3rd anti-codon position.
Source: Rfam